GGUCAUUCUUUUUGAAAUGAAGAAAGUACAUAUUUAAAAGCUUUAAUAGUUUGGAGCCAGAGGGGAGGAGUCUAGUAAACAACGACAAGUUAAAAUGCAUAUACAUCAGAGUUUCCCCAAGCAAGGGUGAAGGGGAAACAGAGGCUACAUCAUAGUUUGCUUUACAAAACUAACUACAAAAGCCAUAGGGCUAAAAAAAGUGAAGAUGCUAAAUGUCUUAGUAGGAAAAAGGGAUCAGUAGCAGAGGCGGAGCCAGGAUUUCUACUUAGGCGGUUCAAAAUCUGAAGAAAAAAUCAUUGAAGGGGGUUCAACAUCUAUAAUAUAUAUAUAUAAAAAUUAUUUUAACCAUAUAUAAAUAAUAUAAUUUUUCGUCGAAGCGGGUUCAUCUGAACCUCCUUUAAUAAGAUAGCUCCGCCUCUGAUCAAUAGGUAUCCAAAAUUAGAAGAAAAUAAGGAUAAGGAUAUUAGUACAUAGAGUAUUAUUACAGAUCCCCAAGACAGAAACCCUUAGUAAAGAGCAGAGAAGCAUCAGCAAACCCAUCCACCGGAGAACGCAUCUGAGCAAAGAAAAUGAAUGCUUAGCAUAAUAGAAGAGGAAAAUGAUAACUAAGAAAGGAGAGAAAUUACUUCUGAAAGUUGAUUCAGCAGAACAAGAAUGCAAGUAAAGCAUGAUGUUGAUGACCUAAAUGAACAAGAAUUAGAGAGGAAGGUUGGACCGCGACGACAAGAUUUUUUUCACAAAUGAGGAGAGUUAGUGGUAGUUUAGUCUGAGAGAUAAGGAGAUAUAAUCCCGAGAUAACUUUUUAAUAAUCCUUAAUUCUUUGUUUGGUUACA
RNAcentral lists this long non-coding RNA (833 nucleotides) under Capsicum annuum. Its description in RNAcentral is "long non-coding RNA (CANN_LNC011354)". The record is from RNAcentral. Lineage: Eukaryota; Viridiplantae; Streptophyta; Magnoliopsida; Solanales; Solanaceae.